RNAcentral lists this transfer RNA (74 nucleotides) under Deltaproteobacteria bacterium. RNAcentral describes it as "tRNA-Gln". It matches the Rfam family "tRNA". From Rfam's summary of the family: Transfer RNA (tRNA) molecules are approximately 80 nucleotides in length. Their secondary structure includes four short double-helical elements and three loops (D, anti-codon, and T loops). RNAcentral also lists the same sequence under 4 other names. Lineage: Bacteria; Pseudomonadati; Myxococcota; Myxococcia. The record is from RNAcentral.
UGAGGAGUGGUGAAAUGGCAUCACACCUGGCUCUGGACCAGGUUUUCCAGGUUCGAGUCCUGGCUCCUCAGCCA